RNAcentral lists this ribosomal RNA (561 nucleotides) under uncultured bacterium. RNAcentral's name for it is "partial 16S ribosomal RNA". It matches the Rfam family "Bacterial small subunit ribosomal RNA", at positions 355 to 906 of the family's 1533-position model. The record is from RNAcentral.
UGGGGAAUAUUGCACAAUGGGCGCAAGCCUGAUGCAGCCAUGCCGCGUGUGUGAAGAAGGCCUUCGGGUUGUAAAGCACUUUCAGCGAGGAGGAAGGUGGUGAGCUUAAUACGCUCAUCAAUUGACGUUACUCGCAGAAGAAGCACCGGCUAACUCCGUGCCAGCAGCCGCGGUAAUACGGAGGGUGCAAGCGUAAUCGGAAUUACUGGGCGUAAAGCGCACGCAGGCGGUUUGUUAAGUCAGAUGUGAAAUCCCCGGGCUCAACCUGGGAACUGCAUUUGAAACUGGCAAGCUAGAGUCUCGUAGAGGGGGGUAGAAUUCCAGGUGUAGCGGUGAAAUGCGUAGAGAUCUGGAGGAAUACCGGUGGCGAAGGCGGCCCCCCUGGACGAAGACUGACGCUCAGGUGCGAAAGCGUGGGGCAGCAAACAGGAUUAGAUACCCUGGUAGUCCAGCGCUGUAAAACGAUGUCGAUUUGGAGGUUGUGCCCUUGAGGCGUGGCUUCCGGAGCUAACGCGUUAAAUCGACCGCCUGGGGAGUACGGCCGCAAGGUUAAAACUAAAG